AACGAACGCUGGCGGCAGGCUUAACACAUGCAAGUCGAGCGCCCCGCAAGGGGAGCGGCAGACGGGUGAGUACCGCGUGGGAACGUACCUUUUGGUUCGGAACAACUCCGGGAAACUGGAGCUAAUACCGGAUAAGCCCUAACGGGGAAAGAUUUAUCGCCGAAAGAUCGGCCCGCGUCUGAUUAGCUAGUUGGUGAGGUAACGGCUCACCAAGGCGACGAUCAGUAGCUGGUCUGAGAGGAUGAUCAGCCACACUGGGACUGAGACACGGCCCAGACUCCUACGGGAGGCAGCAGUGGGGAAUAUUGGACAAUGGGCGCAAGCCUGAUCCAGCCAUGCCGCGUGAGUGAUGAAGGCCUUAGGGUUGUAAAGCUCUUUUGUCCGGGAAGAUAAUGACUGUACCGGAAGAAUAAGCCCCGGCUAACUUCG
This 429-nucleotide ribosomal RNA is filed under the name uncultured bacterium. RNAcentral describes it as "partial 16S ribosomal RNA". It matches the Rfam family "Bacterial small subunit ribosomal RNA", at positions 29 to 505 of the family's 1533-position model. The record is from RNAcentral.